AGUGAACGCUGGCGGUAGGCCUAACACAUGCAAGUCGAACGGCAGCACAGUAAGAGCUUGCUCUUACGGGUGGCGAGUGGCGGACGGGUGAGGAAUACAUCGGAAUCUACUUUUUCGUGGGGGAUAACGUAGCGAAACUUACGCUAAUACCGCAUACGACCUACGGGUGAAAGCAGGGGAUCUUCGGACCUUGCGCGAUUGAAUGAGCCGAUGUCGGAUUAGCUAGUUGGCGGGGUAAAGGCCCACCAAGGCGACGAUCCGUAGCUGAUCUGAGAGGAUGAUCAGCCACACUGGAACUGAGACACGGUCCAGACUCCUACGGGAGGCAGCAGUGGGGAAUAUUGGACAAUGGGCGCAAGCCUGAUCCAGCCAUACCGCGUGGGUGAAGAAGGCCUUCGGGUUGUAAAGCCCUUUUGUUGGGAAAGAAAAGCAGCAGGUUAAUACCCCGCUGUUCUGACGGUACCCAAAGAAUAAGCACCGGCUAACUUCGUG
RNAcentral lists this ribosomal RNA (492 nucleotides) under uncultured bacterium. Its description in RNAcentral is "partial 16S ribosomal RNA". It matches the Rfam family "Bacterial small subunit ribosomal RNA", at positions 29 to 507 of the family's 1533-position model. The record is from RNAcentral.